RNAcentral lists this ribosomal RNA (460 nucleotides) under uncultured bacterium. RNAcentral's name for it is "partial 16S ribosomal RNA". The record is from RNAcentral.
GACUACUAGUGUAUCUAAUCCUGUUUGAUACCCACACUUUCGAGCCUCAGUGUCAGUUGCAGUCCAGUGAGCUGCCUUCGCAAUCGGAGUUCUUCGUGAUAUCUAAGCAUUUCACCGCUACACCACGAAUUCCGCCCACCUCUACUGUACUCAAGACUGCCAGUUUCAACUGCAAUUUUACGGUUGAGCCGCAAACUUUCACAACUGACUUAACAAUCCACCUACGCUCCUUUUAAACCCAAUAAAUCCGGAUAACGCUCGGAUCCUCCGUAUUACCGCGGCUGCUGGCACGGAGUUAGCCGAUCCUUAUUCAUAAAGUACAUACAAAAAGGCACACGUGCCUCACUUUAUUCCUUUAUAAAAGAAGUUUACAACCCGUAGGGCAGUCAUCCUUCACGCUACUUGGCUGGUUCAGGCUCGCGCCCAUUGACCAAUAUUCCUCACUGCUGCCACCCGUAGG